UUUGCAUAUAGAUAUUUCCUGGACCACUAUGCCUCAUCCUCACUGAUCAUAUCUAGUGCUGGCCUUCAUCUCUCCUUUUUACAUUGCUUCCUCUUCUACACCACACACCACCAUCCCUACCAGAGAAGCAUCAGCAACAUGUUUCCUCCCGCGGCCGCGGCCGCAGCCUUCCGCCAUCGCUCGGAGCCACCGUCUUUCUACCGCUCCCGUGCUGCCCGAUGCAUUCGCUUGGUACAUGAUCGACUACGUUAAUUCUCUCAUUGUCUCUACUAAUUCUCCUAGAAUUUGAACUUAAUUUGCCGGGUUCAGCACUUGAUAGAGAGGUGCCUGACCUUCCACUUGGAUAGGGAAGACUGCGCGAGAGUUCUUGCCAAACGCGCUAACAUCCAACCAGUAGUCACCAAUGCAGUGUGGGAUGGAUUGCAAAGAGAGAAUCCUGGAUUUUUUGACUUUUAUUACGAGGAUUUGGGCAGGAGGAGAUUGAUGAGGAGAAACAGGAUCGCAAUGUUAAGGCACUCUGUGAUUAGAAGGAAGAUGAUUCCAGUUAGAAAUCAUCUACUCUUUUUCUAGCUUUUCGGAUCAAUAAUUGGAAUAUUUGUGUUGUCUUGUUCAAGCCAUCGAUCAUAAAUUUUGAUGCUCUGUGUUAAUUUA
RNA transcript from Zingiber officinale, 651 nucleotides. RefSeq lists it as uncharacterized. The record is from RefSeq and is a predicted model, not a curated record. Lineage: Eukaryota; Viridiplantae; Streptophyta; Magnoliopsida; Zingiberales; Zingiberaceae. The transcript is spliced from 3 exons.